This is a non-coding RNA of Podarcis lilfordi (Lilford's wall lizard), 3532 nucleotides long. The record is from the annotation of a GenBank genome assembly. NCBI's taxonomy places the organism in Eukaryota, Metazoa, Chordata, Lepidosauria, Squamata, Lacertidae.
CACACACACACACCCAAGUACCUAAAUCUAUUUGUUCUAAGAAAUAUUUAAAGAUGAGAGAAAACUACCAGGUAUUGCUGAGAUUAGUCAGAGAGCACACAUCAAUGAAUUUUUUAUUCCAAAAAGGAACUUGUGCCUAAAUUAAAUAUAUAUGAUUUCUUUUUUUCCCCUUCAAAAAAAGGUCAUCUCUGUCUCCUAGAUUAAGCACACUAUUUCUUUACUGUACUGCCUAAUUUUACUAAGGUAGAGACCACAAGUCUCCAUGACCCAAAAUUUAAGUUAUAAAUAGGCUGAUUGUAUGUAUCAUUCUGAGGUUUAUAGCUUCAGUUAAUGGCAUAAGGCUCAAAGAGAUGCACACAACAUACUGAGGAAGGAUUGUAGCAGAGUCGUAGAGUGUGUGCUUUGUGUGCAGAAGGUCUCAGGGUUCAGCAUCUCCAGGUAAAAAGGAUCAGGUAAGCAGAGAUCUCUCACUUCACCUGCUGUGAAUUGGUGUGCCAUUGCCAGUUAGGGUAAACUAGGCUUCCCAACCAGGUGCCCUCCAGAUGUUUUAAAGUACAACUCCCACCAGUCACAGCCCAAAUGGCCCAAAUGCCAUUACCAACAAAAGCUUUGACAUAGGCAAGGAAGGAAAUGGCAUCUGCAGCAAAAACCAUGUCCAGUCGAUGACAUUUCCUGCCCACAAGUAUUUCAGUGUGGUAACUUUGCGGCAACAGCGAUUCCAAGAUUAUUUUCAUGAGAUGAUAAUUACAGAGACCUCAAAUUGCAUUUGUGGUAAACAAGUGGUGCAAACAAAAUAAUUCAGGGAAGAUUUGCAGAAUAAAUCAAUCCAAAUGCAUAUCUUAAGUUACCAGAGCAUAACUUUGAGCAUAACACCCCUCUGGUCUUCUCCAGGGAUCCUCUAACUUUCUGUCCUUACUGGGAAGCUCAUGCAAAUAGCAUAUGCUGUGUGUGGCACCAGUCAAAGAAAACAGAGCAGCUUUCCUGUAAAUGCUCAUCUUUGAAUCACAGAGUGACACUCCUGCCCAAAGUCCACUCAGAGUAGCAAUGGGCUAAAGCCCAGGCUAUUUCAUGACUUUUGGGGUUGGAUGAAAGCAUGCUUAAGAUUGGAUUAAUUGAGGACAGGGGGGAUCUAAGAACUUUUGGGUCAGGUGGGCUUAUCCUUAAACUGAUGUAGCUCAGUUUUACACACAUGCACAUGCACACGCACACGCACACACACACACCUUUGCUGCCUUUUCAAGCAGUGUUUGGCUACCCUUAGCAGUGUGGUGUAAUUCAGGACAGACUGCUCCAUAGGGGGAAUGAUGCUACAUUAUGGCCAUGGGUUAGCUUUUGGGAAAUGAUGCUGUAACCUGACAUAAUUUUGUUCCCAUGGGGAGGGAGUGCAUCUCCAAGUUGUUGGGAGGGCAAUGACAGGUGCUGAGGGCACCCAAACUACUGCUUGCAGUUAAUAACAAUAAAAACUUUGCUCCCUUGACUUUGAGCUAAGCCUAUCGCCUCCCAACAUUUCUUUGAAUUCACUUCCCCCUUCCUGAAAGUUGCAGAUCUCUCCGCCACCCCAACACUUCCACAGGGAACAAAUGGCCCUAUAGGUAUGUGUGUGAAUAUUCAGGCUGGCCUUAAUUUGGAGUCAUGAGCUAGACCCUUCCUCCAUUCUCACGUGUAAACUCUGAGCUGAAGAGGUCAAGACUCUCUUUCAGCCAGCAAUGUGGUUGCCUCCAAAAACAGAUGCUGGAAGCCUGGGCCUCCCUUCUAGCAUGGCUGACCUGCAUGGGUUCAGGUGAUUUCACUGAUGGGAGAAGCCUCAGCCACAGAGCAGCGAUUUUCAUCAGCGAUGCUUCAGAGUAGAUCUUUCGAUCAGACUGUGAUCUUGCCUCCUCAGAUGCCACCAGGUGGGAAGAAGGGCCUCCUGUCAGUUUGUUUUCUCUUUUAUCAUCAGAGAAUUCAUUGCAUUCCUCUAUUCAGAAUGCCUGCCUUAACUGUGCUAGGAGAAGGCAACAUACAUAAUCAGGAAACAUGACAGUAAAGUUGCAAAUCUUCAGCUUUUUUGUAUAUGAUUUGUUUUGCAUGCAUAAAAAUACACAGCUUCAGCUUGUGAGCAUUUUUAAACGCUCGGUGCCAUGUGCAAGAAGAAGCAUCACAUUUCGCUAUGUAAUUCACUUUGCUGGCACUGAUGAGGGAUGAUUUCCCCCCCAGUGUGGCAUAAUAUUAAUGUUUCUCCCUGCUGGCUUCCAAGCCUGUGGGUCAAAGCUCAUGUUUCACAACACAGAACAGCCAAUCAUAAAUCUUCUUAAAUCAUACAGAAGGCAGGAGAGGGUCACUGCAGGGAAAGCUAGUCAGUCUGAACAAAGUGGCAUUGAUGCAUGGAAGGAAGAAGAGACUGGUUUUGGAAAGGUAUUGCAUGAAGCCAUUCGCAGUCUUGAGAAGGACUGCUUUGCCUGUUUAUGUAAUACAUUACAACAGCAAUUAUCUAUGACAGGUCCCUGUCCCAAAGAGCUUACAAUGCAAAUUCUGAGAACGUGGAGAAAACAAAAGAUGAAGGAAUCAACAGUAUGAAGACACCACACCUCUUCCUUUUCAUGGUUUCUUUAGUGCUUUAUUCAACACAUUCAAGAUCCAGUAUGUUACACAGAACCGUUGAAUAGCCUUGACAGACAACAACCCCCCAAAAAUAGAUCCUGCUGACCAAUUCUCUUUGGCUUUGGAGAAAUUAUGGGUCUUGUUCCUGCAUUACAUACACAGGAUUGCUUUGGUUUUGCCCAUUUAGCAAUAAUAUAACUCAUAGCUUUUAUCCUCCCCCCAAUACUAUUUUUGGUAUAUGGAGGAUUAGUAUGAGCCAGCAUUCAGUGGCUUUUUAGUUUAAUUCCUGGUGAUCAUUUAACAGGAAUUCAUUAGGCCAGCAUCACCUCUCUGGAACCCCAUUAUGUGAAUUUGCUUUCAGUUCUCACUGUGUACAUUUUACCUGGACUUUCGCAAAGUUUUGACUGGUGCUUUUUAUCCUCUUUUCUACAGAUGGGGUGGUUUGGCAGGUAUUUCCAUCAAUCAUUUUUUUAAAAAAACCUUUGCUUGCUUUAAUUUGUUGUGCUAAAUAUGAUAUUAUCACUCUGUAGUUCUGCUUUAAAAAACACAAUGUAUCUAGAAAUUCCCCCCUUAAAAUACAGCAAAAUGAAAAAAUGCAUGUUUGUUGUAAUACACACCAAAUAAUUCAAGGAAUAGGGAUUAGCUUGAUGUUAUUUACUUUUCAGGAUCAGUUUUGAUAGGACUUAUAAGUGCCAGAACCCUUGGUUGUAAUCAGCAACUGCUGUUGCUAACAUUUUUUUUUUUGCAGCUUAAGCGAAAACAACUAUUACUCGAACCCCCUGCAGUGAUAAGUGAAUGUGUCAGUGAAAUUAUUUUAAACACUUCCAAUUCACUAAAAGUGUGUAUUUAUUCUCUGUAUUUGCAAGCUGUUCCUAUAAUUUCACCCUCUUAUUUAGUUGCCCUAUAAUAUCAAAUUACUCUUAAACCAUUUUGGUGUAACACAUAUUGCUUG